UACGGAGGGGGCAAGCGUUGUUCGGAGUUACUGGGCGUAAAGCGCGCGUAGGCGGUGCGGUAAGUCAGGGGUUAAAGGCUGCAGCUCAACUGCAGUAAGGCCUUUGAUACUAUCGUGCUAGAGUGUCAGAGAGGAUGGCGGAAUUCCCGGUGUAGCGGUGGAAUCCUGUAAUCCUGGGAGGACCACCGGUGGCGAAGGCGCUCGGCUGGAACGGGUCCGACGGUGAGGGACGAAGGCCAGGGGAGCGAACCGG
This 253-nucleotide ribosomal RNA is filed under the name uncultured microorganism. Its description in RNAcentral is "partial 16S ribosomal RNA". It matches the Rfam family "Bacterial small subunit ribosomal RNA", at positions 524 to 776 of the family's 1533-position model. The record is from RNAcentral.